UACAGAGGGCCCGAGCGUUGUUCGGAUUCACUGGGCGUAAAGGGCGCGUAGGCGGCCCGGCCAGUUUGAUGUGAAAGCUCAGGGCUUAACCCUGAAAUGGCAUUGAAUACUGCUGUGCUGGAGGUUUGGAGGGGGGACUGGAAUUCUUGGUGUAGCAGUGAAAUGCGUAGAUAUCAAGAGGAACACCAGUGGCGAAGGCGAGUCCCUGGACAACACCUGACACUGAGGCACGAAAGCCGGGGGAGCAAACAGG
This 253-nucleotide ribosomal RNA is filed under the name uncultured bacterium. Its description in RNAcentral is "partial 16S ribosomal RNA". It matches the Rfam family "Bacterial small subunit ribosomal RNA", at positions 524 to 776 of the family's 1533-position model. The record is from RNAcentral.